GACGAACGCUGGCGGCGUGCUUAACACAUGCAAGUCGAACGGAAAGGCCCUGCUUUUGUGGGGUGCUCGAGUGGCGAACGGGUGAGUAACACGUGAGUAACCUGCCCUUGACUUUGGGAUAACUUCAGGAAACUGGGGCUAAUACCGGAUAGGAGCUCCUGCUGCAUGGUGGGGGUUGGAAAGUUUCGGCGGGUGGGGAUGGACUCGCGGCUUAUCAGCUUGUUGGUGGGGUAGUGGCUUACCAAGGCAUUGACCGGUAGCCGGCCUGAGAGGGUGACCGGCCACAUUGGGCCUGAGAUACGGCCCAGACUCCUACGGGAGGCAGCAGUGGGGAAUAUUGCACAAUGGGCGGAAGCCUGAUGCAGCAACGCCGCGUGCGGGAUGACGGCCUUCGGGUUGUAAACCGCUUUCGCCUGUGACGAAGCGUGAGUGACGGUAAUGGGUAAAGAAGCACCGGCUAACUACGUG
This 468-nucleotide ribosomal RNA is filed under the name uncultured bacterium. RNAcentral's name for it is "partial 16S ribosomal RNA". It matches the Rfam family "Bacterial small subunit ribosomal RNA", at positions 28 to 507 of the family's 1533-position model. The record is from RNAcentral.